RNAcentral lists this ribosomal RNA (253 nucleotides) under uncultured bacterium. Its description in RNAcentral is "partial 16S ribosomal RNA". It matches the Rfam family "Bacterial small subunit ribosomal RNA", at positions 524 to 776 of the family's 1533-position model. The record is from RNAcentral.
UACAUAGGUCUCAAGCGUUGUUCGGAUUUAUUGGGCGUAAAGGGUGCGUAGGCGGCUCGGUAAGUCGGGUGUGAAAUCUUGGAGCUUAACUCCGAAACUGCAUUCGAUACUGCCGUGCUUGAGGACUGGAGAGGAGACUGGAAUUUACGGUGUAGCGGUGAAAUGCGUAGAUAUCGUAAGGAAGACCAGUGGCGAAGGCGGGUCUCUGGACAGUUCCUGACGCUGAGGCACGAAGGUCAGGGGAGCAAACGGG